AGCCCUGUGGCACAGUGGUUAAAUGCCUGUACUGUACUGUACUGUACAAGGUUGUGAGUUCAAUACUAGCCAGGGCUC
Molecule: non-coding RNA, 78 nt
Organism: Phrynosoma platyrhinos (Desert horned lizard)
Lineage: Eukaryota; Metazoa; Chordata; Lepidosauria; Squamata; Phrynosomatidae
Source: the annotation of a GenBank genome assembly